ACAACAUAUUAGCAAAUAGAAUUCAAUAAUGUGUAAAAAGACUUAUAUGCCACAGCCAAACAGGAUUUAUCCCAGGUAUGCAAGAUUGGCUCAACAUUCAAAAAUCAAUUAAUGUAAUCCAUCACAUCAACAGGCUAAAAAUGAAAAUUCACAUGAUCAUAUCAAUGGAUGCAGAAAAAUCAUUUGACAAAAUCGAACAUUCAUUCAUGAUAA
RNAcentral lists this long non-coding RNA (213 nucleotides) under Homo sapiens (human). RNAcentral describes it as "non-protein coding lnc-PDE8B-3:1". The record is from RNAcentral. Lineage: Eukaryota; Metazoa; Chordata; Mammalia; Primates; Hominidae.